Molecule: ribosomal RNA, 254 nt
Filed under: uncultured bacterium
Lineage: Bacteria
Description: partial 16S ribosomal RNA
Rfam family: Bacterial small subunit ribosomal RNA
Source: RNAcentral
GACGAACCGUGCGAACGUUAUUCGGAAUCACUGGGCUUAAAGCGCGUGUAGGCGGGCCGGCACGUCGGUCGCUGAAAUCCCCCGGCUCAACCGGGGAAGGGGCGCCGAUACGACCGGCCUGGAGGGGGGUAGGGGGAGCCGGAACUUCCGGUGGAGCGGUGAAAUGCGUUGAGAUCGGAAGGAACGCCCGUGGCGAAAGCGGGCUCCUGGACCCCACCUGACGCUGAGACGCGAAAGCCAGGGGAGCGAACGGG